GCCACGGUGGUCUAGCGGUUAGAACGCUGGCCUUGUGACCCUGGGGUCUCGGGUUCGAUUCCCGGCGGUGCCC
This 73-nucleotide transfer RNA is filed under the name Zootermopsis nevadensis. It matches the Rfam family "tRNA". From Rfam's summary of the family: Transfer RNA (tRNA) molecules are approximately 80 nucleotides in length. Their secondary structure includes four short double-helical elements and three loops (D, anti-codon, and T loops). The record is from Rfam by way of RNAcentral. Lineage: Eukaryota; Metazoa; Arthropoda; Insecta; Blattodea; Termopsidae.